CGUGGACUUGUGCCUCCCAAUGGGCUGUUCCAUUUCAUGCUCCUAUUUCGAGAAGUUUAGUACUUUUCUCGAAUGGGUGGUGCGGGUGGAGGCAGGGAGCCGUUCAGUAGUGCACUACUUGGACGAUUUCCUUUGCGUGGGGCCGGCUGCCUCCUCGGCGUGCCAGCAACUGCUUAGGACCAUGGAAUGGGUGGCGGGCCACUUCGGGGUGCCGCUGGCUGCGGAUAAGACGGAGGGCUCGGCGACGUGCCUUAGUUUCCUGGGGUUGGAAAUAGAUUCGGUCUUGGGUGAAUGCCGG
This is a non-coding RNA of Pelobates cultripes (western spadefoot toad), 298 nucleotides long. Lineage: Eukaryota; Metazoa; Chordata; Amphibia; Anura; Pelobatidae. The record is from the annotation of a GenBank genome assembly.